This 402-nucleotide ribosomal RNA is filed under the name uncultured prokaryote. Its description in RNAcentral is "bacterial SSU rRNA". It matches the Rfam family "Bacterial small subunit ribosomal RNA", at positions 355 to 774 of the family's 1533-position model. The record is from RNAcentral.
UGGGGAAUAUUGGACAAUGGGCGCAAGCCUGAUCCAGCCAUGCCGCGUGAGUGAUGAAGGCCUUAGGGUUGUAAAGCUCUUUCACCGGAGAAGAUAAUGACGGUAUCCGGAGAAGAAGCCCCGGCUAACUUCGUGACAGCAGCCGCGGUAAUACGAAGGGGGCUAGCGUUGUUCGGAAUUACUGGGCGUAAAGCGCACGUAGGCGGGCAUUUAAGUCAGGGGUGAAAUCCCAGAGCUCAACUCUGGAACUUCCUUUGAUACUGGGUGUCUUGAGUAUGGAAGAGGUGAGUGUAAUUCCGAGUGUAGAGGUGAAAUUCGUAGAUAUUCGGAGGAACACCAGUGGCGAAGGCGGCUCACUGGUCCAUUACUUACGCUGAGGUGCGAAAGCGUGGGGAGCAAACA